UGCCAGCCGCCGCGGUAAUACGGAGGGGGCAAGCGUUGUUCGGAAUUAUUGGGCGUAAAGAGCAUGUAGGCGGACUGUUAAGUCUGGCGUGAAAGCCCGGGGCUCAACCCCGGAAGUGCGUUGGAUACUGGCAGCCUUGAGUAUGGGAGAGGAAAGUGGAAUUCCGAGUGUAGGAGUGAAAUCCGUAGAUAUUCGGAGGAACACCAGUGGCGAAGGCGGUCUUCUAGAUUAUUCCUGACGCUGAGGCGCGAAAGCAAGGGGAGCGAACAGGAUUAGAUA
Molecule: ribosomal RNA, 279 nt
Filed under: uncultured bacterium
Lineage: Bacteria
Description: partial 16S ribosomal RNA
Rfam family: Bacterial small subunit ribosomal RNA
Source: RNAcentral